GUUUAGGGUUUUUUAGGUUUUAGGGUUUUUUAAGGUUUAGGGUUUAGCGUUUUUAAGGGUUUAUGGUAUUUUAGGGUUUAGGAUUUUUUAGGGUAUAAGGUUUUGAGGGUUUAAGGUUUACGGUUUAGGGUUUUUUAGGGUUUAGGGUUUCGGGAUUUUUAGGGUUUAGGGUGUAGGAUUUAGGGACAACGUUUUUUAGGGUUUAGGGUGUAGGGUUUUUUUAGGUUUUAGGGUUUUUU
RNAcentral lists this long non-coding RNA (239 nucleotides) under Vigna radiata. RNAcentral's name for it is "long non-coding RNA (VRAD_LNC010063)". The record is from RNAcentral. Lineage: Eukaryota; Viridiplantae; Streptophyta; Magnoliopsida; Fabales; Fabaceae.